Long non-coding RNA from Phacochoerus africanus (Common warthog), 408 nucleotides. RefSeq lists it as uncharacterized. The record is from RefSeq and is a predicted model, not a curated record. NCBI's taxonomy places the organism in Eukaryota, Metazoa, Chordata, Mammalia, Artiodactyla, Suidae. The transcript is spliced from 3 exons.
GGUCGGGACGCUUGGCGCCUGGCCUCCGAGCUGCAGCUGCUGCUCACUUCCCUCGGUGCGUGGGUUGGCUCCUAGUGUUGGAGCGAGCGUCCUUCCAGCCCAGCGGCGCUGGUGGCCCAGGUGAGGGCUGUGUGGGGCAGAGGACCGAGGCGCAGGCGGUGCUGCGGCGCGGGUACAGGGCACAGUUGCCCAGGUCAGGCUCCUGUUGCACCCCUCUCGGGAUUCCCAGUGUUUCCACAUUGGCUGUCUCCCGGGACGUUGGCGAGACGGGCAUGUGACAGUUUGUGGCAUGGCACUGACCAGAAUUAGGGACUGCAGCAAGCAUCAGAAUUUGCCUGAACCCUGGACGGAGCAGCGUGGGGCCGCCUGCCGCCUGGGGUCCAUCCCCGUAGACUGGAUAUAGUUUCC